CAGCAGCCGCGGGAAUACGUAGUGUGCAAGCGUUAAUCGGAAUUACUGGGCGUAAAGCGUGCGCAGGCGGUUAUAUAAGACAGAUGUGAAAUCCCCGGGCUCAACCUGGGAACUGCAUUUGUGACUGUAUAGCUAGAGUACGGCAGAGGGGGAUGGAAUUCCGCGUGUAGCAGUGAAAUGCGUAGAUAUGCGGAGGAACACCGAUGGCGAAGGCAAUCCCCUGGGCCUGUACUGACGCUCAUGCACGAAAGCGUGGGGAGCAAACAGGAUUAGAUACCCCCGUAGUCCCUGUCUCUUAUAC
This 301-nucleotide ribosomal RNA is filed under the name uncultured bacterium. RNAcentral's name for it is "partial 16S ribosomal RNA". It matches the Rfam family "Bacterial small subunit ribosomal RNA", at positions 509 to 807 of the family's 1533-position model. The record is from RNAcentral.